This 752-nucleotide ribosomal RNA is filed under the name uncultured bacterium. Its description in RNAcentral is "bacterial SSU rRNA". It matches the Rfam family "Bacterial small subunit ribosomal RNA", at positions 585 to 1335 of the family's 1533-position model. The record is from RNAcentral.
GCGUUGUUCGUGAAAUCUCACGGCUUAACUGUGAGCGUGCGGGCGAUACGGGCAGACUUGAGUACUGCAGGGGAGACUGGAAUUCCUGGUGUAGCGGUGGAAUGCGCAGAUAUCAGGAGGAACACCGGUGGCGAAGGCGGGUCUCUGGGCAGUAACUGACGCUGAGGAGCGAAAGCGUGGGGAGCGAACAGGAUUAGAUACCCUGGUAGUCCACGCCGUAAACGGUGGGUACUAGGUGUGGGUUUCCUUCCUUGGGAUCCGUGCCGUAGCUAACGCAUUAAGUACCCCGCCUGGGGAGUACGGCCGCAAGGCUAAAACUCAAAGAAAUUGACGGGGGCCCGCACAAGCGGCGGAGCAUGUGGAUUAAUUCGAUGCAACGCGAAGAACCUUACCUGGGUUUGACAUGCACAGGACGCCGGCAGAGAUGUCGGUUCCCUUGUGGCCUGUGUGCAGGUGGUGCAUGGCUGUCGUCAGCUCGUGUCGUGAGAUGUUGGGUUAAGUCCCGCAACGAGCGCAACCCUUGUCUCAUGUUGCCAGCGGGUAAUGCCGGGGACUCGUGAGAGACUGCCGGGGUCAACUCGGAGGAAGGUGGGGAUGACGUCAAGUCAUCAUGCCCCUUAUGUCCAGGGCUUCACACAUGCUACAAUGGCCGGUACAAAGGGCUGCGAUGCCGCGAGGUUAAGCGAAUCCUUUUAAAGCCGGUCUCAGUUCGGAUCGGGGUCUGCAACUCGACCCCGUGAAGUCGGAGUCGC